Long non-coding RNA from Gorilla gorilla gorilla (western lowland gorilla), 313 nucleotides. RefSeq lists it as uncharacterized. NCBI's taxonomy places the organism in Eukaryota, Metazoa, Chordata, Mammalia, Primates, Hominidae. The record is from RefSeq and is a predicted model, not a curated record. The transcript is spliced from 3 exons.
CUUUCUUCACAAUCCCUAAGCCAUCUUUAACCACACUCGGCCAUCUCCUUAAUGUGUGUAGUGUCACCCUAGACUUUUUCACAUCCUGAUUCUUCUUGUAACUGUUUGACCAGGCCCCAACCCUAGAGUCAUGGCUUCCUGAGCAAAAACUACCAGCAACUUGGGUUAACAACAAGUUGAUCAACAGCUACGCCUUGGAAGUUGGAGACAGUGAAUUACUCCUGAGAGAUUUACAGUUCUAAGAACCUGUGCUUGUGAUUAUGGCUCUAACAAUAUCAACUCUUAAACCCGAAUGUCAACUAAAGAAGCCCAG